UUCAUUCAACCAUUGCAACUUAUAAGGCCUAGGGUGUCUUAACAAUGCUAGUCCUAAUUUCUCAACUAAAGUUGUGCUAGCUACAUUCGUGCAACUCCCACCAUCAAUAAUCAUACUACAUACCUUAUCGUUGACGUAACAAGUAUGUGGAAUAUAUUUUCUCCCUGCUGCUCCGAAUCAUCCACUUUGACUUGAGUGUUAAGAGCUCUCCUUGACACCAACGAUUCCCCAACAGCAAACUCCAGUUUUUCUUCUUCUUCAACGUCCUCUAAUGCAGGCAUGUCCUCAAACUCUCCUUCACUUUCACUCACCACCUCUCCAUUAUCCAACAAAACUAUUACCCGUUUAUUUGGGCAUUGAGAAGCAAUGUGCCCUGACCCCAAGC
This 385-nucleotide long non-coding RNA is filed under the name Olea europaea (common olive). Its description in RNAcentral is "long non-coding RNA (OEUR_LNC003307)". Lineage: Eukaryota; Viridiplantae; Streptophyta; Magnoliopsida; Lamiales; Oleaceae. The record is from RNAcentral.